This 427-nucleotide ribosomal RNA is filed under the name uncultured prokaryote. RNAcentral's name for it is "bacterial SSU rRNA". It matches the Rfam family "Bacterial small subunit ribosomal RNA", at positions 355 to 774 of the family's 1533-position model. The record is from RNAcentral.
UUAAGAAUCUUGCACAAUGGGGGCAACCCUGAUCCAGCCAUGCCGCGUGAGUGAAGAAGGCCUUCGGGUUGUAAAGCUCUUUCAGGUGGAAAGAAAUCGCAUCUUUUAAUACAGGGUGUGGAUGACGGUACCAUCAGAAGAAGCACCGGCUAACUACGUGCCAGCAGCCGCGGUAAUACGUAGGGUGCGAGCGUUAAUCGGAAUUACUGGGCGUAAAGCGUGCGCAGGCGGUUAUGUAAGACAGAUGUGAAAUCCCCGGGCUCAACCUGGGAACUGCGUUUGUGACUGCAUAACUAGAGUACGGCAGAGGGAGGUGGAAUUCCGCGUGUAGCAGUGAAAUGCGUAGAGAUGCGGAGGAACACCGAUGGCGAAGGCAGCCUCCUGGGCCAGUACUGACGCUCAUGCACGAAAGCGUGGGUAGCAAACA